CCUACGGGUGGCUGCAGUGAGGAAUAUUGGUCAAUGGCCGGAAGGCUGAACCAGCCAUGCCGCGUGAAGGGCAGGGGCCUAGGGGCGUUAAACGUCUUUUGUGCGGGAGCAAGAAUGGGAACGUGGGGCCAGACGAGAGUACCGUACGAAUAAGCAUCGGAUAACUCCGUGCCAGCAGCCGCGGUAAUACGGGGGAUGCAAGCGUUAUCCGGAUUUCUUGGGGUUAAAGGGUGCGUAGGCUGUGAGGUAAGUCAGCGGGGAAAUGCCCCCGCUCACCUGGGUGAAGUGCCAUUGAUACUGCCUUGCUGGAUUGCGGAUGCCGUGGGCGGCAUGUGUGGUGUAGCGGU
This 347-nucleotide ribosomal RNA is filed under the name uncultured bacterium. RNAcentral describes it as "partial 16S ribosomal RNA". It matches the Rfam family "Bacterial small subunit ribosomal RNA", at positions 338 to 682 of the family's 1533-position model. The record is from RNAcentral.